Molecule: ribosomal RNA, 531 nt
Filed under: uncultured bacterium
Lineage: Bacteria
Description: bacterial SSU rRNA
Rfam family: Bacterial small subunit ribosomal RNA
Source: RNAcentral
AAUAGAUACCCAGGUAGUCCACGCCCUAAACGAUGUCAACUGGUUGUUGGGGAUUCAUUUCUUCAGUAACGAAGCUAACGCGUGAAGUUGACCGCCUGGGGAGUACGGCCGCAAGGUUAAAACUCAAAGGAAUUGACGGGGACCCGCACAAGCGGUGGAUGAUGUGGUUUAAUUCGAUGCAACGCGAAAAACCUUACCCACCUUUGACAUGGCAGGAAUCCUUCAGAGACGAAGGAGUGCUCGCAAGAGAGCCUGCACACAGGUGCUGCAUGGCUGUCGUCAGCUCGUGUCGUGAGAUGUUGGGUUAAGUCCCGCAACGAGCGCAACCCUUGCCAUCAGUUGCUACGAAAGGGCACUCUGAUGGGACUGCCGGUGACAAACCGGAGGAAGGUGGGGAUGACGUCAAGUCCUCAUGGCCCUUAUAGGUGGGGCUACACACGUCAUACAAUGGCCGGUACAAAGGGCAGCGAAGCCGCGAGGUGAAGCCAAUCCCAUAAAGCCGGUCGUAGUCCGGAUUGCACUCUGCUAACG